ACAGCAGUAGCCGCGGGAAUACGUAGGGUGCAAGCGUUAAUCGGAAUUACUGGGCGUAAAGCGUGCGCAGGCGGUUUUGUAAGACAGAGGUGAAAUCCCCGGGCUCAACCUGGGAACUGCCUUUGUGACUGCAAGGCUAGAGUACGGCAGAGGGGGAUGGAAUUCCGCGUGUAGCAGUGAAAUGCGUAGAUAUGCGGAGGAACACCGAUGGCGAAGGCAAUCCCCUGGGCCUGUACUGACGCUCAUGCACGAAAGCGUGGGGAGCAAACAGGAUUAGAUACCCGUGUAGUCCCUGUCUCUUAUAC
RNAcentral lists this ribosomal RNA (305 nucleotides) under uncultured bacterium. Its description in RNAcentral is "partial 16S ribosomal RNA". It matches the Rfam family "Bacterial small subunit ribosomal RNA", at positions 506 to 807 of the family's 1533-position model. The record is from RNAcentral.